AUUAACGAUAGCAACUAAUCAAUCCAAAAUUUGAACCCUUCUCGACCAGACCUGAAUCAACCCGCAACUAGCUCAUCUUAAUUCUCUCCACGCGUCCUACGCGAUGUUAUACCCUGGGAGAUCCGAGAAUCUGCUAGAAAGAGCGUGAGUUGGCUCGUAUAGUGGCUAUAUUCCACGAUUUUAGGAUUUUGGUAUGGAUUAGGUACGUACUUGGGCGUCUUUCAUUGGUUGGAAAAGGGGAUUCAGUAUCCCACAUUUUAUAGUUGCCAUUUUGGGGAAAAAUCCAAAGAAUUUGGUACAAAGGGGGUACGGACUGUUGGAGGGUAGCGGGAUCCGGGUGGAAAUUUGGAGUUUCUCCCUCUUUUUGAAAUCCCUAGGGAAACCCUAAUUCGACUCCUAUAAAAGGGUUCUUGGGGUCACUGUUGAGGGGUUUUUUUUUUCUCUUCUUGGAAGGGUCCGAAGUUUUGGUAGAGAAAAUUCUAGGGUCUUAUUUCAGGAGGGAUAACUUGGGUUAGAGACGAAGUUUUUGAAAGAAAUCAAGAAAGAAAUUUUAGGCUGGUUAGAAAAGUUGUUUUUAAAAAUUUGGGUUGGGCACUCUGAAAUUAAGGAGUUUAUUGUCGCGAAGAAUUUCUCAUCCACUAUGUCUGGGAAAGCUAGUCGAUCAAUGGGAAGUUUCCCGAGGCAACAACAUUAGCUCCCAGUGGGGAUAGUUUUGCUGAUAGCUCGAGUCCCGUUUGCUGCUCCUUGAAAGCCGUCUUUGAGUCCAAACGGACUGUUUUCCGUAAUUGCAUUAUCGAUGUGAGCCAUUGAGGCUCCUUCCUUCUGAUUCGAUCUCGAAGAUGAUCUCGUAACACAAAUCCAAGGACUCGACUGAAGAAAGUAUGGGCUAAACCCCAUUGUUUGAAGCGGCAAAGAAGGACUUGAAAGCUAUUAUUUUUAUUUAUUUACAUCGUCACCUUUAGUUAUUUAUUGAUUUGUUUGUUUAUUUCUUUA
This is a long non-coding RNA of Capsicum annuum, 993 nucleotides long. RefSeq lists it as uncharacterized. The transcript is spliced from 2 exons. NCBI's taxonomy places the organism in Eukaryota, Viridiplantae, Streptophyta, Magnoliopsida, Solanales, Solanaceae. The record is from RefSeq and is a predicted model, not a curated record.